This 550-nucleotide ribosomal RNA is filed under the name uncultured Actinomycetes bacterium. RNAcentral describes it as "bacterial SSU rRNA". It matches the Rfam family "Bacterial small subunit ribosomal RNA", at positions 932 to 1482 of the family's 1533-position model. Lineage: Bacteria; Bacillati; Actinomycetota; Actinomycetes. The record is from RNAcentral.
GCGGAGCAUGCGGAUUAAUUCGAUGCAACGCGAAGAACCUUACCAAGGCUUGACAUAUAGAGGAAAAGCGUAGAAAUACGCUCCCCGCAAGGUCUCUAUACAGGUGGUGCAUGGUUGUCGUCAGCUCGUGUCGUGAGAUGUUGGGUUAAGUCCCGCAACGAGCGCAACCCUCGUCCUAUGUUGCCAGCACGUAAUGGUGGGAACUCAUGGGAUACUGCCGGGGUCAACUCGGAGGAAGGUGGGGAUGACGUCAAAUCAUCAUGCCCCUUAUGUCUUGGGCUUCACGCAUGCUACAAUGGCCGGUACAGAGGGCUGCAAUACCGCAAGGUGGAGCGAAUCCCAAAAAGCCGGUCUCAGUUCGGAUUGAGGUCUGCAACUCGACCUCAUGAAGUUGGAGUCGCUAGUAAUCGUGGAUCAGCAACGCCACGGUGAAUACGUUCCCGGGCCUUGUACACACCGCCCGUCAAGUCAUGAAAGUCGGUAACACCCGAAGCCAGUGGCCUCAACCGCAAGGGGGGAGCUGUCGAAGGUGGGAUCGGUGAUUAGGACU